Mus musculus (house mouse) is the source of this 2204-nucleotide long non-coding RNA. RefSeq annotates it as predicted gene, 36894. The record is from RefSeq and is a predicted model, not a curated record. NCBI's taxonomy places the organism in Eukaryota, Metazoa, Chordata, Mammalia, Rodentia, Muridae. The transcript is spliced from 5 exons.
GGGUCAGCUUUGUGGGGUCUGGAAGCAGCAGACACCGUGGGCUGCCAGCUCCAGCCUUCUUCAGGUCCUCUUUGAUGACAUGGGAUGGUCACCACCUAGGCGGGGUGAGGAGAAUGUGGGCUUCCCAUCAGCCCCGUGCACUGGCCGUCCAUUCAGCCCAGAGCAGAGGGUUACUGAGAACCGUGUCCCUGGUGACAGAUGAUGCCUUCCAGGUCACAGGAAUUCGACUUGAUCCUUGAAGUGGAAACGUAAGGGUUCUUUGGAAAGUCAGUUGUGUCGGAUGAUGUUUUGCUGGGGCAAACACAUGAAGGAGUGUUUUCCUGAAGUGGACACAGGUGAAAGACUAAGGCAGACUGGUGAAGGAACGUUUUGCCGAGGCAGACACAGGUGAACUUCUGAAUCUGCCUGGCGGUGUCUGCAAGAGCUCGCUGAGGUUGUCGUGGCCGCAGGAACUGCACGUUUCCGACUGUGACCCAGGACCUGCUUCUGUUUGUCAUUUUGCCAACCACAGGAUUUCUCCACAGCAGUCAUGGAAGACAGGCUGAAGCUUGGCUGGGCUCAUUCCGGGCUGUCAAUCAGAAGAAACCUGUGUGGCUUCGGGAGACAGUGCUCCCUUCCUCUGGACCCUUUCGAAGCAUCUGUGGCCUGUGUCUCUGUUGAUCCCGAGAGGUGGCAACACUGAGGCCCAGUCAAGUGAGCUGCCCGAGGGUCCAGGGUGCACCUCUCCCAUAUCCCAGAACCCUUUGCCAAGGCCCAGCCUGAACUUCUGGAGCCGUUGAAUGCACUAAGAGCUUGUGCUGCAGGAGGGUGGGGGUGGCUAGUGACAGUGGCUUGUCAGGUGGCCUGCCGCAUCUCUUGAGCCAUCCUGUCCCUUUGUCCUCCAGCACUGAGCGCAGGCAUGUCUCCUCCACCCCAUCUCCUGCUCCAGGACCCGGACCACCCUCGCUGCUGCUCCCAGUUCUGCUGGCUAAGGUUGCUGUGAACAUUCCUUGGCUGAGUUACUUUCCCAGGAUGCCAAGCGAGUCUGCUUUCCAAGGGAGGCCAGCACAGUGCCAAGGCCUCUGGGUAAAUUGGGAUUCGGCUAAGAAGUGAGCCAAGAUCCGGAUGCUGCAUGGUACUUUUCUUCCCCCAACGUACAAGGCACACUGUGAACAUCUCUCCAAUCUGAGUGGCAUCCUUGGCCUCCUGAGGGCCUUCCGUGCCCCUCUCUCAGUGACUUGGGCUCCUUUCAUAGUGGUGCUGGGUAACUGGUGAAGUGGCUGCUGCCCUAGAGGGGCUUUGUUUUGUGUUUGAGGAAAGGCCAGCAGGGUGGACGCCCUCCCACAGGGGAUGCCAUGAGGUUGGCCUUUCCCUUCCGUGCCUGGACCCCUCUCUGGUCCUCGAUGUUCCUUGGUAAGCACCCUCUUCCCCGUGCUUCCUAAGCUCGACACCCAGCUGCAGGCCUGUGGGCAGCUGUGGUGCUCCAGCCCUAGUGAUGACUGGUCUCAGACCCGUCCCCAGAGAUGGUCUGGGUGAGGGAAACGUGGCACUGCUCUCUUGGCAGUGGGGUUCUAGGAAAGGGGGUGAAGAAAAACCAUCCUGAUGGCAGAAGAGAGUCCCUGAGCUCAGCCCACUGCCAUCCUUGCCCCCUCCUCAUGAGAGCUGCCUGUGUCUUUGAGAAUUCAUCAGGCUCUCGAACUUUAAAGUUCAGGGAGGGAAAAAAAAAGGAUUUCAAAUUAGUGGAAGCUUUUUACAGGGGACGCUUGUCAAGGAUAAUCUUUAAUUGCAAAUAAAAAGAUAUGGGAGGUGGCGCUGGGGAUAGGGACAUCUUGAAGGCCAGCCGUGUGGAGGUCAACCUGCCCGCACCUGCUUCAACAGGAGAAGGGUGGAGAUGUGGGGCAGUCCUCAGUCCCCACUCCCACACUUCCUUUCUUCUGUAUGGCUAACCCGCAGCUUCUACAGGUCCCAGCCCACCACUGCCCAGACCACUGCUCCAUCCUUAGGAACAGAGGGCUGGAGCAUGGGAGGCAAGUCUUGUAGGUAAGAGGUGAGAACUGGGGAACUCCCCAGAUUCCCCUGAGAAAGAACGGAGGGUAGGUUCCCGUCUCUGAGGAUGUUAGCUGCGGCCGGGAUGGAAGGGGGUGAGGAGGAAGGGGAAGACAAGCUGCAGCCCCCAUGAUGCAGAGGGCUCCCCUGGUCAGACACUGGUCACACUGAGCCCCCCC